RNAcentral lists this transfer RNA (75 nucleotides) under Aureispira anguillae. It matches the Rfam family "tRNA". Rfam says of the family: Transfer RNA (tRNA) molecules are approximately 80 nucleotides in length. Their secondary structure includes four short double-helical elements and three loops (D, anti-codon, and T loops). Lineage: Bacteria; Pseudomonadati; Bacteroidota; Saprospiria; Saprospirales; Saprospiraceae. The record is from Rfam by way of RNAcentral.
AGAAACAUAGCUCAGUUGGUUUAGAGCACUUGGUUUACACCCAAGCGGUCAUAGGUUCGAAUCCUAUUGUUUCUA